RNAcentral lists this ribosomal RNA (301 nucleotides) under uncultured bacterium. Its description in RNAcentral is "partial 16S ribosomal RNA". It matches the Rfam family "Bacterial small subunit ribosomal RNA", at positions 509 to 807 of the family's 1533-position model. The record is from RNAcentral.
CAGUAGCCGCGGUAAUACGAAGGGGGCUAGCGUUGCUCGGAAUGACUGGGCGUAAAGGGCGCGUAGGCGGAUGGCACAGUCAGAUGUGAAAUUCCCGGGCUUAACCUGGGGGCUGCAUUUGAUACGUGUUGUCUAGAGUGAGGAAGAGGGUUGUGGAAUUCCCAGUGUAGAGGUGAAAUUCGUAGAUAUUGGGAAGAACACCGGUGGCGAAGGCGGCAACCUGGUCCUUGACUGACGCUGAGGCGCGAAAGCGUGGGGAGCAAACAGGAUUAGAUACCCCAGUAGUCCCUGUCUCUUAUAC